Molecule: long non-coding RNA, 3271 nt
Organism: Taeniopygia guttata (zebra finch)
Lineage: Eukaryota; Metazoa; Chordata; Aves; Passeriformes; Estrildidae
Source: Ensembl
AUUUGCUUGUCCCCAAAAGUGAUUCCUCCAAUAGAUUUUCAUUUUAAAUGGGCAUGCAUAUGUCAGAGCAGAACAUAACCUAGUAGAAUACUUUCCACUUAAAUUUACUGUCAUUUCCCAAAUUUCUUAAAUAUUAGUAAUAUCAAUAAAAAACAGAUUUAACAAAAAGGAUUUUGGAGAUUAUACCUACUUCCAGAAAAACAAUAAACAUUUUAAUAACAUUUGUUAACUCCCAAGAGGAAAAUAUCCUAUGCUACAUAUCCUUACCUAAAGGAAGGAAAAAAAAACCCUGAACAAUAAAAAAGACUGCUUUACUAUGACAAAUUAAGGCAGUAAAAGCACUGUUAAGAGGUACUUCCCUCCUCUCUGACUAAGCACAAUGAACUUCAGGGGUUUCUGUAUAAUCUCUUGUUUUUAGGACAAGCAGAUUUUUAGUCCAUUAAUUUACCAUCAUUAUUACUGGCAGAAAAUUAUUUCAGUCCCCACUGAUGAAAGGGAGGAAGAGAUUACCAAGAAAAUAUCCCACCAUACAAGUUCUUUUUCUUAAACUAAUUUUAUAAGUGAUACUUAUGACAUUUGAAGUAAAUAACUUGAGUACCUCUUACUUGAAAGGUAACAUUUCAUAAGUGAAAAGAUACUUUAUGUUCUUUGGGGGUACAUAUUAGAUGUUACUUUGGUACCUGGUGGUAUUUAAAAGGGAUCCCCCCUUCUCACUGAAGUGAAAUAUUUGAGUGGGAUUGUUUAAGGAGCAGUUGCACUUGAUUAAGAGUUAUCAGGGUGAUCAAAUAUGAAGUGGAAAUAUGAAGAUAUUAGGUGGAAACUUUCCUUUAUCAGAAAAACAUGGGGAACAAUGGUGGCUAUAGAGUUGCAAGGUUAAUUAUUGGAAAGAUGACCUAAAUGAACAGAAAAGUGCCCAAAACAUAUAUUGAGUGUAAUAAUCUAGUUCCCCUAUUAUCUGUUUAAUAAAUAAUGAGUCACUGGAGCACACACAUCGUAGACAACUCUGAGGAGACUGCAGAACUCGGCAGGAGUAAGUCAGGCUUCAUAAGAUAUCUUUUUAGACCACAAGGUGGAAGAACCACUGAAUAGCUCAGAGAAGAGAAAUACAAGCAGAAUUGUUCAUUCACAAGUAGACUCCCUGAAGAAACUCAAAAGCCUGUCACCACCAGGUCUUUUUUCUGGCUAACAUUGCAAUGUAUAAUAACUUCUUACAAGCAUAACUUGCAAUACAUAUUCUUCACAAUAAAUAUUUUGCCCUGAGGCAGUACCCAAGGCUCGAAAAAGCUAACUGAACACCAGAGUGGUGAAAUCUGUUGAUACAAAGAGUGCUUAUUAUUGUAUUUUAUUUAUUGUGUUUAAAUAUGUCAAAAUAUUUCAUGGCACAGUAGUGCUUUCAAAUGUUUUUAAGUCUAUUAAAGGAAAUUAAUAUAUAGAAAUUAAAAUAUAUUUCCUUAUAUUUGUAUGAAAUAUUUGAGUAUUUGCUAAACAUGUCCUCAGGAUACCUACCUACAUAAAUACAUAGGUACGCAUUCAGUACAUAGUUUAUUUCAUAUAUUGAGAAAGAAGCUACAGCUUAACACUUCUCUUAGAUUCCUCUGAAUCUCACAAAGACAGUAAUGUUGUUUUUCCUAGAAGGUUGUCAUAGACAAGAAAAAGAGAACUAUCCAGUGGAUUUGUUUCAACUUAUUUUCUCAAAAGGAGAGUCCAAAGGAAGGCAAUGAGGAUGGUGAAGGGCCUUGAGGCAAAGCCAUAUGAGGAACACCUGGUCUGUUCAGCCUGGAAAAGAGGAGACUGAGGGGAGUCCUCAUCACAAUCUAAAACUUGUAAGGAGAAGAGGGGGCAGACACUGAUCUGUGGUGACCAGUCACAUGACCUGAGGGAAUGGCUUGAAGUUGUGUCAGAGGAGGUUUAGGUUGGAUAUUAGGAAAAGGUUCUCCCAGAGGGUGGUUGGGCACUGGAAGAGGCUCCCCAGGGAAGUGGUCACAGCCCCAAGACUCACAGAAUUCAAGGAGUGUUUGGGCAAUGCUCUCAGGCACAUGCUGUGACACUUGGGAAUGGUGAUGUGCAGGUCCAGGAGUUGUCUUGAUGAUCCUUGUGGGUCCCUUCCAACAGGUGCUUUGGUCUGUAAUGAAACUUUCCUGGGUUUGCCUUUCCUGAUUCUUUGCUAUGUCAUUCUUAAAAACAUACUUGUAAGUAAAAGAAUUAUUACACUCCUAGUAGGCACAAGUAGACUUCUUAAAGCAAUUAUAGCAGUGGAAAACAAUUUGGUUUUGUUCAUAAAUUGCGCUGAACUUCAUCCUUAUGAAUAACUUGUCUUUAAAAUGGGAAUCAUAUUAUAAAACCUAAUUGAUACAAAAUAUAUUUGGGUUGGCUAUAUUCAAAGUACCCUACCUCAGUAAGUUAACACUGGAAUAAUAAAACAUUCAGCCAAUGCAAAAAAGUCUCAAAUUUCAAGAGAGGUCUCUUGUAGGGAUAUAAUAUUCACCCCCUGCCCCCAACUGAUAUUUUCUGAAAAAGAGAAACAGACUAAAAGAAGUUUAAAAAGCUAGAGUCCAUUGCCAAAGCUGCAAUUCUUUUUUUCCUACAGGACUAAGAUAGUGCGAUUAUGAAAGGUGUUGAUUACACAAAGGUAUCAGCACUUGUGCAUCAGUUUACCAUAAACAAAAACCAGGAUAGUCCCUCAGAUAGAUCUUUCAACUUCUUUAUGUCACAACUAUCAACAGAUGUUCCUCAAAAUGAUUGAGGGAACAAACCUAGAAAAUGUACUUGCAUUUUUUCUGUAUGCAUAGCCAUGAAAACAAGGUAUGCAAAACGAGAAGUAGCAUUCUAAUUUUAACUUAUUUUUUAUUUGUACAUGAGAAAUAUCCUGAGAGAAAUAGACUGGGCAUGUGGACUUUUAUUUCUCAAAAGGUCAAGCAGUCUUUGAAUGGAAACAGUGCAGAAACAAUCUCAUAUGACUUUCAAGAAGGCUUGGUAAGUAGUUUUUUCCCACUGUUGAUCUAAACCAGGUAUGGCACUAGCAUAUGGUAUGUUUUUCCCAAUAAACUUCCAAUAGAUUUUCAUAGUAGGACUGUGCAGAACAUAAAAUAUAACACAAGCAGUGCAAAAAGCCCUGUUAAGUCUGUAAAGUUUUCUAUGAUGCAUUUAUUCUUCUCACAGAUAAUCAUUCACCAUUUUUUGUACUUAAGUAGUCUUUCCUACUGUAGAUUCAGCUGCUCUUACAUGAAUAUCUCUCAUAAUGUUUGUCACAGCUUGCUUUUUGUUUGAAAUC